Molecule: long non-coding RNA, 284 nt
Organism: Alligator mississippiensis (American alligator)
Lineage: Eukaryota; Metazoa; Chordata; Crocodylia; Alligatoridae
Exons: 2
Source: RefSeq, a predicted model, not a curated record
GAAGGACCAACUAAAUCGGGCGGGGCGAGGGAGGUUUCAACGGACUGGUCCUUCCCAUGGGAACAGCACUGAGAGAGAGUGCAUUUGGCAUCUGCCUUUCACCCUCUUCAACGUGGGGACAUCCUACAACACCUUUGUGGCUACAAGUUCCAGACCUCCAGCAUGACAGGGCUCCAGCACUGUGCCCUGACCUGUCGGCAGUGGAUUGAUAACCGUGUGUCCUUCCAUAUAUUUCGAUGUGAUAUUUUUCUCUGUCUCUCUUAGUAAAGGUGGUUCUUGAUGAA